CCCUGCAAAUGCACUCGGGCGCCGUGGAAAAAGUGAGAAGAGGCAAAAUUGGGGCUGUGCCCAUUGCUCGCUCUUGCCUCCGGCUCCUCGAGGGGAUUCUGGUCCCAACUCACCCAGCUUUCUACUGUACUGUCCACAUCCGUGAGCGGCACCCUGAGAAGUCGGAGGAAACAGCAAGUUCCAAGUCCUGGUGUGCUUGACCUGCUCGCAGAACAUCAGGGAGGACCCGGGAUGUAGCUCAGUGGCACCACACCUACAUCUCAAGCAAAAGGUCCUGAGUUCGAUCACCGAUGGGGGCAGAGGGAGACUAGAACAGAGAGGUGGCGAGGGAGAGAACGGUAGAAAAUAAAGGACAGGUGGCCACGAGACAGAGAGAGUUUGGGCAAGUGACAUGGAGCAGAGGAGAAGCAGAAAUUUGAAAUCGGACGACCUGGCUUCAGAGAGGUGUCACAUGAGCCUGCCACUGGGCAAUGACCCAGGCCCCUUCUACUUUGUUGCUGUGCCAUCUUUAGGGUGUUGAUGGGCAUCGUGCAGGUUGGCUUACAGCCACACCAGAAUUCCAGCAUACCUUCAUUCCGGAGAUAACCAGCAAGUCAUGCUGCUCUGUUAGCGAAGCCAAGCUCAUUGCAGUUUGGGGAAGAAGGUGUGAAGAAAAUUAGAAAAGAGAAGCUCAAAGUGUAUUGGGAGACAUUCACAUGCCUGGUGGGUAGCGGUGAGAGCUGAGAAGAGGAAGGCUGAGUCUCACUGUGCAAUUCGUGAGAGCCAAAAAUACACCUGAUGAUAACCGUGACCCCCAUUGUCAGAUAGCAUCAUCUCUCAGGUACGUACUCUCAACUGAGGGAAGAGAUUACCUUCAGAAUCAUAAAAAAAAAAAAUCCAGCUGUUCCAAAGACAGAGGACUCACAUCUAAAAUAUAUAA
This is a long non-coding RNA of Fukomys damarensis (Damara mole-rat), 919 nucleotides long. RefSeq lists it as uncharacterized. The transcript is spliced from 4 exons. Lineage: Eukaryota; Metazoa; Chordata; Mammalia; Rodentia; Bathyergidae. The record is from RefSeq and is a predicted model, not a curated record.